UAUUCAUGUUGUAUUAUAAAUAUAUGUCAGAAUCUACUGGAAGAAUACAUCAAAUCCUCUCUUGCAGGUGCCAUGGAUUUCUGUAGCCUAAAUAUCCUGAAAACUAUGCAACACUUGUCCUUCUCACACUUGACAGCAAGGACUCUUUCUGCUUUUGCUCCAGGCCUGGUGGCCAUGUCACGUCGGGCUCAAGCUUUUUGGCAUUUCAAGCAGAAGUGGAAGAAGAUUAAUGGACAAUUAUUGCUGUCAAGCCCUGCAGGGACAGGUUUCAAGUGGCAGCAAUGUGGUAUAAAUGCAGCAUGUGGAAUACAGGGCCUGAGGGAUGCUCAGCACCCAGCAUUACAGGAUUCUGCCUUUUUCUUGUCUUUGGUUCUGCUUUUUAAACACCGACCUCAGGAGAAGCUUUGCAGGAUGAGGUUAUUAUGGGACUGGACACCUUGAGUCACUUGGGUGUUUUUCUCCUUCAGAGAUGGAAGCCUGCUUCAAUGUGUCAGUACAUUUUGAUGGCCCUGUAACACAGAGAAAAGACCUGAUAAUUUACUGCACAG
RNAcentral lists this long non-coding RNA (548 nucleotides) under Parus major (Great Tit). RNAcentral describes it as "lncRNA (ENSPMJG00000010567.1)". The record is from RNAcentral. Lineage: Eukaryota; Metazoa; Chordata; Aves; Passeriformes; Paridae.